UUGCACCUUUUAAAUGAUUUUUUAUUUAUUCUUCUUUGGCUCUAUGUGGGUAUUGUAGGAAGUGUGGAGCAUUUUCCCGUUCUACAUGCGAUUGUUUCAUUUUUGCUCAGGGGUUUACCUCACACAUCCAGGAAGUCAUCCUCGCAUACCCAUGUACCAAUCAUACCAAGGAAAACAUUUGAUGACCUCGUUGCCAUAAAUAUCGAGUCUACCAUGAGGAGAACCAAGCUUUCCAAUAUUCUGAAGUCGUAUGAGAUGCCACAUACGGUCCACUAUGCUAUUCCAACUCCUGAUUGUUGUUCUCAUUGCUCGAAGGAAGGGUUCAAGGCUUUCAGUGAUGCUAUCAUUAGAUUUGGGGGGGCUUUGCUGCUCCACCUUUUUUUUGUGAAUGUGCUCAAUUACUUCAAAUUGGCACCUCUUCAAUUGUCACCUAACCCUUUGGUGGAAUUAUGGUGCAUGUACAUCCUAUAUCAGAAAAUGCACCAGUGAGGAUCCUUGAUGAAGGAGUUCCAUCAUUUGUUUACCUUGAGAAUGAACUUGUAGACUUGCGUCUUUUAUCAACUUCAGAAGGUUGUUCCCCUACUCCCCCUCGUGGAGGGGUCUAUCUCAAAAAGAGGUGUGUGGAAGAGUGAUUUCAUUUUCACAAAUAGUAUCUCCAUAUAUCAUACCCACUUUCAAUGUAUCAAGUAAGCUCGUUUAUUCGUCUUCUUCUUCUCUCAUCUUUUUCUUUUUUUUUUUGGGGGGGGGGGGGGGGGGGGGAAUGUUUAACUUGCUACUAAUUUUCUGUUAGGUCUUGAGGGAGUAGUCAGACCUAGGUUGGUGCACAGAGAACCGUUAACUAACCAUUUUGUUAACUAACAAGCAGGCCAGUGGCCUCUUCACAUAGAAGAAUCUUCAUCUUUAUGGGUUAUUGUUUCCUGACCAAUUAAUUACUUUGUGUCGUGUCUUAUCCAUGGCCCUGAGACCUGAACUAGAGUGUGAGGAUGAUGACGAUGAAGACGAAGACUACCACUACUCUGGGGAUGACCUGAUGGAUACUUAGGAUGAUGUUGAGGUGUGGAAACGAAGGAUUAUUCAUGUUGAAGGUCUUCGAUCAGUGUGGGUGGGGAGCCAUAUGAUGGAGAUGUGGAGGCCGUAGAUGAUGUUACUUCACAAGUCCCGUUGUCGGCAACAAGCAAUGAGUUUGACUUUGUAACUUCUCCACCAUCUUCAUCUGCCGCAAAGAAGAACUUCAUCAUGCCAUUCUUUGAUGAUAUUCUCUCACCUCCAGGGUCACUUGAGAUGUGCAUCCAUAGGCACUUCCUAUCCUAAGGAGGUGACUCAUUACACUUCUACCCCUUGUACCUCAGCUAAUGGAUCGAGGACCUCCCACUUUCCUUCUCAGUUCAGGCACACCUCUACAGGCGUUUGUACUCCAACUCGCCACGUCUCUGACUCUGCUUCAUGGGAGAACCCUUUUGCGGCCCAAUAUGGAGAUGCCAUGAUUCACCAAAUAGGGAAGAUUCCUAAAGCUAAAUGGAGAUCCAUUCAUGAGAUACUAGACACUGACUUGGGCAAGGAAGGCUUCCACUCAAGUAUACGUUGAGACAUUACUACAUGUUACAAUUUUUUAUUUUAUUUUAUUAUUUGUUUUUUGUUCUUACCAUCGUUUACCCGCUGACCUCCUCUUCUCUGUGUUUACUAAGGCUUCUAUCUUGGGGCACUGUUUUGUCGCCUUUAGUUCUUUCUCAACACAUUGCCUGUAGUCUAAGCAUGAGGUGGAUAUGAGGGAUCCUUCCCUAGUCAAGACGUAAAAUGAGCAACUGACUCUGAAUGUUAUUGACUUAGAAAGUCAACUUUCCGAAGCCUUCCACAAGAUGAAUGCUGCGAUAGCCAAGACUGCUUCAUUCUCUCAAGCAAAGGAGAAACUUGAGGCCACUAUUAGGUCCUUGAAUGAGAGAAUAGGUAAACACGAAGUCGUUCUAGUGGUUUCCAAGAACAACAUAGUUGAACAUAUGCUACAUGUCGUUUGGAGACUCAACCCAGCGUUAACUUGUCCACCCUUCAGCGAUAUGCCAUCAAAAAAGUUGUUGAGUGGAGUGCUUGAGGUGGGAGGUCGUAGGGUUGCCUUUGGGGUUUCUUUUCCCUAAUUUAGCGUGAGAGGUUUUGUGUGACCCUCUUCUCCUUCGAUUAUAGGCCUUAUGUUUAAGCCUUUUGUUUAUGCUUGGAGCUUUUGAAGUCCAUUAUUUAUGUAUGGAACUUUUGUGUCUGGAAAUUUUGUUUUUUGUUUUUGUUUUAAUUAAAGUCCAUUAUUUAUAUAUGGAUUUUUUGUGCUUGAAACUUCUUUACAAGUCCAUUAUUUGUGUAAGGAUCUUUUUAAAUUUCUAUCUCUUCCUUAA
Humulus lupulus (European hop) is the source of this 2378-nucleotide long non-coding RNA. RefSeq lists it as uncharacterized. The record is from RefSeq and is a predicted model, not a curated record. Lineage: Eukaryota; Viridiplantae; Streptophyta; Magnoliopsida; Rosales; Cannabaceae. The transcript is spliced from 2 exons.